AGUGAACGCUGGCGGUAGGCCUAACACAUGCAAGUCGAACGGCAGCACAGUAAGAGCUUGCUCUUACGGGUGGCGAGUGGCGGACGGGUGAGGAAUACAUCGGAAUCUACUUUUUCGUGGGGGAUAACGUAGGGAAACUUACGCUAAUACCGCAUACGACCUACGGGUGAAAGCAGGGGAUCUUCGGACCUUGCGCGAUUGAAUGAGCCGAUGUCGGAUUAGCUAGUUGGCGGGGUAAAGGCCCACCAAGGCGACGAUCCGUAGCUGGUCUGAGAGGAUGAUCAGCCACACUGGAACGGAGACAAGGUCCAGACUCCUACGGGAGGCAGCAGUGGGGAAUAUUGGACAAUGGGCGCAAGCCUGAUCCAGCCAUACCGCGUGGGUGAAGAAGGCCUUCGGGUUGUAAAGCCCUUUUGUUGGGAAAGAAAAGCAGCAGGUUAAUACCCCGCUGUUCUGACGGUACCCAAAGAAUAAGCACCGGCUAACUUCGUG
Molecule: ribosomal RNA, 492 nt
Filed under: uncultured bacterium
Lineage: Bacteria
Description: partial 16S ribosomal RNA
Rfam family: Bacterial small subunit ribosomal RNA
Source: RNAcentral